This 2115-nucleotide ribosomal RNA is filed under the name Triticum aestivum (bread wheat). Its description in RNAcentral is "partial small subunit ribosomal RNA". Lineage: Eukaryota; Viridiplantae; Streptophyta; Magnoliopsida; Poales; Poaceae. The record is from RNAcentral.
AUGGAUCUCGACAUGGACGACUACAUGGACCCCUACGAGGAGGCCGAGGCCGAGGCCGCCGCGGAAGCCGCCGGCGUGACCGGCCCAGGCGCCGCAUCCGCGGACGAGGAGUCGGACGGCGAGGACGACUCGGAGGCCGAGAGCGACUACGAGGAGGAGUCCUACGGCCUUCUCAAGUCCGGCAAGCACCGGGUGCGCAACCCGGACGGCACCUUCCGCUGCCCCUUCUGCCCCGGCAAGAAGAAGCAGGACUACAAGCUCAAGGACCUCCUCCAGCACGCCGACGGCAUCGGCGUCUCCAGCAAGCACCGCCGCCACGGCCGGGAGCGUGCCUUCCACCGUGCCUUUGCCCGCUUUGUCCGCGCCGAGCCGUCCUUUGCGCAGGAGCUCUCCACUAUCGUUGGGAUUCCCGGUGCCACUGUAACUGCUACUGCUAAUGCAGAUGCCACUGACAAAGGAAAGGCCGUUGCCAAUGGUCACACCAGUGGAUCCAGUGCUGUGGCAGUGACUGAGGGACCACCACAGGAUGGCGAAGAGAAGUUUGCUUGGCCAUGGUGUGGAAUUCUUGCAGCCGGUGCAGGGUUCAAUGCUGAAAACUUUGCAGAUAGAGUGGCCAUGUUUAGUCCAGAAGACAUCGUGCCUUUAGUUUUCGAUGACACAGAAAACUCGGAAUGCUUUGCAAUUGUGCGGUUUAGUCCUGGCUGGGGUGGAUUUAGUGACGCUCUCGCACUUGAGAACCAAUUCAGUGUAAAUAAGCUUGGGAAGAAGGAAUGGGUGGCAAGGAGCAGUUGUGGAGGUGCUGUGGACGGCGAGGAGAACGAGAAUGGUGAGGUUAAGGUUUAUGGUUGGGUUGCCCGAGAGGUGGACUACACUGCUGGGGGUUUGGUGGGAAGAUACUUAAGGAAGCACACUGACAUUAAGACCAUAGAUGAGAUUACCAAGAGUCAGAGGGAGCCAUUGGGGAAGAUUGUGGCAGCAUUGGCAACUCAGCUCGAGGCAAAGAACCAAGACUUGCAGGAUCUGGAGACAAAGAAGAAUGCAACAGAAUUCUCCAUUGCAAGGCUUGAGGAGGACAAUAGGAGGCUGCAUGAGGCAUAUAAUGAAGAAAUGCGCAAGCUGCAUCGCAAGGCUCGUGACAAUGCUCUGAGGAUUUUCCAGGACAAUGAAAAUUUGAAGCUUGAAAUAGAAAAUAACAAGAGAGAAAUGAUUUUGCGUGCUAAGCAGCUGGAGAAGUUGUCAGUUGAGAAUGCCAAUGACAGGAAAAAACUUGCAGAACUUUCUGAUGAGAAGCAAAAGGCAAAAGACGAUAAAAGUGAACUUGAGCUGGCAAGUAUAGAGCAGCAGAGGAAUGAUCAAGAUAUUUUGAAGCUAGUCGAGGACCAGAAGAGGGAAAAGGAGGAUGCCCUCGCAAGAAUGCUUCAGCUGGAAAAGGAGCUGCAUGAGAAACGAGAACUUGAGCUCGAAGUGACACGAUUGAAUGGCACACUCCAAGUGAUGAAACAUUUGGAAGGAGACGAUGAUGGGGAUAUUCAUGACAAGAUGGAGAAGCUUAGUGAAAAGCUAGAGCAUGAAAGGAAACGCCUGGAAGAGCUGAGCGGAGAGCUGGUGAGGAAAGAGCGUGAAAGUAAUGAUGAGUUACAGGAGGCCCGAAAAGAAUUGAUAAUGGGUUUGGAGGACAUACUCAGCGGGCGGACAGCUAUCGGUAUCAAAAGGAUGGGCGAACUUGAUGAAAGACCUUUUCAGAAUGCAUGCAAGAGAAAAUAUGGAAAUGAUGAUUAUGAGACAAGGGCAGCAGAGCUGGUCUCAAGUUGGCAGGAGGAGAUAAAGAAGCCAGCCUGGCAUCCUUAUAAGUUUGUUAAGGCUGAAGACGGAAGUGACAAGGAAGUUGUAAAUGAUGAGGACCCAAGACUGAAGCAAUUGUGGAUCGAAUAUGGUGACGAUGUGUGCAAUGCAGUGAAGACCGCUCUGAGCGAAGUAAACGAGUACAACCCGAGCGGAAGGUACGUGGUGUCAGAGCUGUGGAAUUUCAGGAAAAACCGUAAGGCGACGAUGAAAGAGGUGCUGAGGUUCAUCUUCCAGCAGAUGGAGGUGCCCGGCAAGCGCAGGAGGGGUUGA